AUGGAAUUUAAUGGUAAAAAAAAGCAGCCUUGGAAGACAAUCCAGAAGGCGCAACAGGAACGGUUAGAAAUGGUGGAAUUAGAUACAAAGGAAUCUUGGAUGAGCACAAAGGAAACAGCAGCUCUACAUCACACAUCCCGCAGGUAGGCUCAGAACAUGGGAUACUGGAAGUGAGGGUUGGAGUAACAUCAGAUAUGACCAAUCACGGCUUAGGGUAUUGGAAUUAGCUUGACUCAAGGAGAUCAAGGACCACACCAAGGAUGGGCGCUACGAGCAAGAAGUUCAGGAUCAACUCUGGUGGAUGAAGCAAAUGCACUUAAGCUAGCAAUGUGUAAGACAGCCACAACGCAAUCCAGG
This 357-nucleotide long non-coding RNA is filed under the name Coffea arabica (coffee). RNAcentral describes it as "long non-coding RNA (CARA_LNC008270)". The record is from RNAcentral. Lineage: Eukaryota; Viridiplantae; Streptophyta; Magnoliopsida; Gentianales; Rubiaceae.